This 497-nucleotide ribosomal RNA is filed under the name uncultured bacterium. RNAcentral describes it as "partial 16S ribosomal RNA". It matches the Rfam family "Bacterial small subunit ribosomal RNA", at positions 28 to 507 of the family's 1533-position model. The record is from RNAcentral.
GAUGAACGCUGGCGGCGUGCCUAAUACAUGCAAGUCGAGCGAACAGACGAGGAGCUUGCUCCUUUGACGUUAGCGGCGGACGGGUGAGUAACACGUGGAUAACCUACCUAUAAGACUGGGAUAACUUCGGGAAACCGGAGCUAAUACCGCAUAAUAUAUUGAACCGCAUGGUUCAAUAGUGAAAGACGGUUUUGCUGUCACUUAUAGAUGGAUCCGCGCCGCAUUAGCUAGUUGGUAAGGUAACGGCUUACCAAGGCAACGAUGCGUAGCCGACCUGAGAGGGUGAUCGGCCACACUGGAACUGAGACACGGUCCAGACUCCUACGGGAGGCAGCAGUAGGGAAUCUUCCGCAAUGGGCGAAAGCCUGACGGAGCAACGCCGCGUGAGUGAAGAAGGUCUUCGGAUCGUAAAACUCUGUUAUUAGGGAAGAACAAAUGUGUAAGUAACUAUGCACGUCUUGACGGUACCUAAUCAGAAAGCCACGGCUAACUACGUG